Molecule: ribosomal RNA, 507 nt
Filed under: uncultured bacterium
Lineage: Bacteria
Description: bacterial SSU rRNA
Rfam family: Bacterial small subunit ribosomal RNA
Source: RNAcentral
UACGAACGCUGGCGGCGUGGAUAAGACAUGCAAGUCGAGCGCUCUAUUCAUUGUAGCAAUACAGUGGAUGUGGAGCGGCGCAGGGGUGCGUAACACGUGGGUAAUUUGCCGUGAAGUUGGGGAUAACUCGCUGAAAGGCGAGCUAAUACCGGAUGUGGUUACUGGGUGGCAUCACCUGGUAACUAAAGCUGGGGAUCGUAAGACCUGGCGCUUCAUGAUAAGCCCGCGGCCUAUCAGCUAGUUGGUGAGGUAACGGCUCACCAAGGCUAAGACGGGUAGCUGGUCUGAGAGGACGACCAGCCACACUGGAACUGAGACACGGUCCAGACACCUACGGGUGGCAGCAGUCGAGAAUUUUUCUCAAUGGGCGCAAGCCUGAAGGAGCGACGCCGCGUGGGGGAUGAAGGGUUUCGAUCCGUAAACCCCUGUCAUUUGUGAACAAUGGUUAUUAUUUAAAAGAUGAUGACUUGAUAGUAAUGAAAGAGGAAGGGACGGCUAACUCUGUGC